This 908-nucleotide ribosomal RNA is filed under the name Psychrobacter nivimaris. RNAcentral's name for it is "bacterial SSU rRNA". It matches the Rfam family "Bacterial small subunit ribosomal RNA", at positions 521 to 1428 of the family's 1533-position model. The record is from RNAcentral. Lineage: Bacteria; Pseudomonadati; Pseudomonadota; Gammaproteobacteria; Moraxellales; Moraxellaceae.
UAAUACAGAGGGUGCAAGCGUUAAUCGGAAUUACUGGGCGUAAAGCGAGCGUAGGUGGCUUGAUAAGUCAGAUGUGAAAUCCCCGGGCUUAACCUGGGAACUGCAUCUGAAACUGUUAGGCUAGAGUAGGUGAGAGGGAAGUAGAAUUUCAGGUGUAGCGGUGAAAUGCGUAGAGAUCUGAAGGAAUACCGAUGGCGAAGGCAGCUUCCUGGCAUCAUACUGACACUGAGGCUCGAAAGCGUGGGUAGCAAACAGGAUUAGAUACCCUGGUAGUCCACGCCGUAAACGAUGUCUACUAGUCGUUGGGUCCCUUGAGGACUUAGUGACGCAGCUAACGCAAUAAGUAGACCGCCUGGGGAGUACGGCCGCAAGGUUAAAACUCAAAUGAAUUGACGGGGGCCCGCACAAGCGGUGGAGCAUGUGGUUUAAUUCGAUGCAACGCGAAGAACCUUACCUGGUCUUGACAUAUCUAGAAUCCUGCAGAGAUGCGGGAGUGCCUUCGGGAAUUAGAAUACAGGUGCUGCAUGGCUGUCGUCAGCUCGUGUCGUGAGAUGUUGGGUUAAGUCCCGCAACGAGCGCAACCCUUGUCCUUAGUUACCAGCGGGUUAAGCCGGGAACUCUAAGGAUACUGCCAGUGACAAACUGGAGGAAGGCGGGGACGACGUCAAGUCAUCAUGGCCCUUACGACCAGGGCUACACACGUGCUACAAUGGUAGGUACAGAGGGCAGCUACACAGCGAUGUGAUGCGAAUCUCAAAAAGCCUAUCGUAGUCCAGAUUGGAGUCUGCAACUCGACUCCAUGAAGUAGGAAUCGCUAGUAAUCGCGGAUCAGAAUGCCGCGGUGAAUACGUUCCCGGGCCUUGUACACACCGCCCGUCACACCAUGGGAGUUGAUUGCACCAGAAGUG